CAGUAGCCACGGGAAUACGUAGGUGGCAAGCGUUGUCCGGAAUUAUUGGGCGUAAAGGGCUCGCAGGCGGUUUCUUAAGUCUGAUGUGAAAGCCCACGGCUCAACCGUGGAGGGUCAUUGGAAACUGGGAGACUUGAGUGCAGAAGAGGAGAGCGGAAUUCCAUGUGUAGCGGUGAGAUGCGUAGAUAUAUGGAGGAACACCAGUGGCGAAGGCGGCUCUCUGGUCUGUAACUGACGCCGAGGCUCGAAAGCGUGGGGAGCAAACAGGAUUAGAUACCCCCGUAGUCCCUGUCUCUUAUAC
RNAcentral lists this ribosomal RNA (301 nucleotides) under uncultured bacterium. Its description in RNAcentral is "partial 16S ribosomal RNA". It matches the Rfam family "Bacterial small subunit ribosomal RNA", at positions 509 to 807 of the family's 1533-position model. The record is from RNAcentral.